This 482-nucleotide ribosomal RNA is filed under the name uncultured Chaetomidium. Its description in RNAcentral is "eukaryotic LSU rRNA". It matches the Rfam family "Eukaryotic large subunit ribosomal RNA", at positions 86 to 580 of the family's 3401-position model. The record is from RNAcentral. Lineage: Eukaryota; Fungi; Ascomycota; Sordariomycetes; Sordariales; Chaetomiaceae.
ACGGCGAGUGAAGCGGCAACAGCUCAAAUUUGAAAUCUGGCUUCGGCCCGAGUUGUAAUUUGUAGAGGAUGCUUUGGGCGCGGCUCCAACUGAGUUCCCUGGAACGGGACGCCACAGAGGGUGAGAGCCCCGUAUAGUUGGAUGCCUAGCCUGUGUAAAGCUCCUUCGACGAGUCGAGUAGUUUGGGAAUGCUGCUCUAAAUGGGAGGUAAAUUUCUUCUAAAGCUAAAUAUUGGCCAGAGACCGAUAGCGCACAAGUAGAGUGAUCGAAAGAUGAAAAGCACUUUGAAAAGAGGGUUAAAUAGCACGUGAAAUUGUUGAAAGGGAAGCGCUUGUGACCAGACUUGGGCCUGGCGGAUCAUCCGGUGUUCUCACCGGUGCACUCCGCCAGGCACAGGCCAGCAUCGGUUCUCGUGGGGGGAUAAAGGUCCCGGGAACGUAGCUCCUCCGGGAGUGUUAUAGCCCGGGGCGUAAUGCCCUCGC